Molecule: ribosomal RNA, 253 nt
Filed under: uncultured bacterium
Lineage: Bacteria
Description: partial 16S ribosomal RNA
Rfam family: Bacterial small subunit ribosomal RNA
Source: RNAcentral
UACGGAGGGUGCAAGCGUUAUCCGGAUUCACUGGGCUUAAAGGGAGCGCAGGCGGAUUGGUAAGUCAGUGGUGAAAGCCUUAAGCUUAACUUGGGAACUGCCAUUGAUACUAUCAGUCUUGAAUAUUGUUGAGGUUGGCGGAAUGGGUCGUGUAGCGGUGAAAUGCAUAGAUAUGAGGCGGAACACCGAUUGCGAAGGCAGCAGGCUGAACAAAGAUUGACGCUGAGGCUCGAAAGCGUGGGGAUCAAACAGG